Molecule: long non-coding RNA, 558 nt
Filed under: Sinocyclocheilus grahami
Lineage: Eukaryota; Metazoa; Chordata; Actinopteri; Cypriniformes; Cyprinidae
Description: lncRNA (ENSSGRG00000036921.1)
Source: RNAcentral
ACAUGAUUUAAAACUAGCGACGCCACGACCUCCUUGAGAGAUUUAUCUUAAUUAAUAUUGUUGCAUUAUUUUGCCGUAAUGACCAGCUGUAACGUUACAUUGUUACAAACUUACCAGCUAUUGAUUCGAAAUAUUGGCUUGAGUUGAAACUUUUGAUUGUAUUGUUAUUUUCAAUCAAUUAUACAGUUUAGAAGUCAUAAAUUGGCGCGCUUUUUCGCGACCGUUGAAACCAGUAAACAAACAACCAUGGUCUCCAGUACAAAUACAGCAUUAACUUCUACACUAUGUGCUAUUGACCAAGAGAGGACGCUGUUUCUCAGCAGUCAGCUGCCUUGAGUUGGAGGUGAGAAUUGUUUACUACACAGACAGCAACGGCGUCCUGUGAUUUCUCUUGAUGCUCUGGACUUCCAUUGACUGAUCAAACUGUGCAAUCAGAUCUCAACUGAGCCCACAACCAAUUGACUUAUUAGAAAAUCUGUGCAAGUUUCUGUCUCCUGGAUUCAGGUCAGUAGAGCAUGGACACUAUAGAAAUUAGAUUAUUUUGUUUAAAUGUAUUUU